Molecule: small RNA, 505 nt
Filed under: Drosophila virilis
Lineage: Eukaryota; Metazoa; Arthropoda; Insecta; Diptera; Drosophilidae
Description: GJ26226
Source: RNAcentral
UUCUGAAUAUUUAGACAUACGUCUCUGAAUGUUUUUACAUAAAACAUCCUAGCACAAUAUUUGUAAUUUCAUUGUGACUGUUUUUAGGCAUGAAUCAGUUUGUUUUUGUAAACAACCAAUAGGCUGCACCGACUUUGUGGACGCUUAGAAUUUGAGCAUUGCCCACGGCAAUAUUGAAUUCACAAGCAGUAAACAACUAUUUCACGAGGCAUUUAGCUAAAAGUAAUCCAUCAAGAUGUGCUGCGACGGUUGUUCCACUCUAAUUCCUAUCCGUAGACCAUGCUGUGAGCCGUGCUGUGGUCCCAGCUUUGGCUCUUGCUGCGGACCGUGCGGUCCCUGUGGUCCUUGUGGCUGUUCACCGUGCUAUGCACCGUGUGGGGCCUGCUGUGGCGGUUGUGGGCCUUGCUGUUAGCAUUAUCUUCGGAUCAAAACAAAGUCCCUUGAAAAGCCACCCAACAAAUUAAUUGUGCAUUUUAAUAAAGAAAAUGUAAAUUUAAUUCACAAA